This 1189-nucleotide long non-coding RNA is filed under the name Lepisosteus oculatus (spotted gar). RNAcentral's name for it is "lncRNA (ENSLOCG00000021982.1)". The record is from RNAcentral. Lineage: Eukaryota; Metazoa; Chordata; Actinopteri; Semionotiformes; Lepisosteidae.
AAAAAUGUACGUAGUGUUUAGCUAGAGUCCGUUCGUGCGGCUUAACAUACAGCCCCGCCGUUUUAUCGUCGAAUUUAUGACCCUUCAAAAAAAUUCAAAAUAAGAUGCUGCGAUGUUCUGCAGUCCGGUUCAGUAUUGCACUGUGCAAGUGUGAUUAGCACAGCGCUGACACUGACGAGAUUUUAGUGAGUUCUUGUCGGCUGCACAGACGCUGUGUAUUCCCCUUGAUCUUUGGAGAAGGAACUCUCCUAUCAGUAAAACCAAAAAGAAGUGAUACAGUGAAGGGCACAUUGAAUGUACUGCAACCAUUUGAUGAUAAAGGACCAACAGCUUGCCUGGCAUCAAUGUACUUUGAUAAUGAUGGAGAUAUGACUUUGACUGACAACAAUGACAAAGUAUCAUCACAUUCUAAGGAUUUGGCACUUUUGUCCAAAAAGGACAGGUUAUAUUACUUGGCGGGAGUUUCUGAUAAUGGAAUUAAAAGCUGCACACAUAAAGGAAGAGCGUCUCAGAAAAAACAAGACAGCGAAAAGGCUACCACCGCAACACCCACUGUGGAAACGGAAGAAUGCCAAUCUAGAAAUGAUACUGCAAAGAAAGACACCAAAGAUUUUGCCAAGCUGAAUUUCAUGUCACUGACUGUGAAUGGGUUGAGAAUGCUGUUUGCAAAAACCGUCACGUUCAAUAUGCUGAUGACUGUCAGAGCCAUGAUCAUUUAAGAUUUAUUGGAAUCCCGAUAUGAGAUCUUCCACACCUUUGAAGACCAGGAUUCUGUGCCGAUUGGAAUAGUAGUUGGAAGAUGAAGAGUUUUGUUUUUCUUAUUCUGUAGUUUAGGUCAAGUUUCAGAUCAUUUCAACUCUGUAAUAGCCAUGCAACUCAUAUUCCAUUAUUCAUUAUAUAAGAGUAAGUUUUUGUUACUUUAUUCUUGUUUGACAUGUUGAAUAUUGAUCAUUCCUGCUGCCCAGCUGAACGGUUGAACAGAGCUGGAAUGCUGUGGAUGACAGCAAAGUUUUUUUUUUAUAGGACUUGAGCAUGUUGUUGUCUGUUCCCCUGUUCUGCCAAUAGUUUUGCAUGUCCUUGUUCACCUUGCUGUUUGCUUUGCUAACCUUGCAUGUGAAAAGCCUUGAUUAUGUAUUUAUCUUUAUUCUAAUUCAUUCAAUUCAAUAAAACUAUUUUACAGAUGCCACAU